This 23-nucleotide non-coding RNA is filed under the name Oryzias latipes (Japanese medaka). Its record names the gene ola-miR-31. RNAcentral also lists the same sequence under 1 other name. The record is from miRBase by way of RNAcentral. Lineage: Eukaryota; Metazoa; Chordata; Actinopteri; Beloniformes; Adrianichthyidae.
GGGCAAGAUGUUGGCAUAGCUGU